CCUACGGGAGGCAGCAGUGAGGAAUAUUGGUCAAUGGACGAAAGUCUGAACCAGCCAUGGCGCGUGCAGGAUGAAUGCCCUAUGGGUUGUAAACUGCUUUUAUAUAGGAAUAAACCCCUUUACGUGUAAAGGGCUGAAGGUACUAUAAGAAUAAGGACCGGCUAACUCCGUGCCAGCAGCCGCGGUAAUACGGAGGGUCCAAGCGUUAUCCGGAUUUAUUGGGUUUAAAGGGUCCGCAGGCGGAAAUGUAGAAAUCCGAUCGCUUAACGAUAGAACUGCCAUUGAUACUGUUUUUCUUGAGUAGACUUGAAGUGGGCGGAAUGUGUCAUGUAGCGGUGAAAUGCAUAGAUAUGACACAGAACACCGAUUGCGAAGGCAGCUCACUAAAUUAUAACUGACGCUCAUGGACGAAAGCGUGGGGAGCAAACAGGAUUAGAUACCCUGGUAGUC
Molecule: ribosomal RNA, 450 nt
Filed under: uncultured bacterium
Lineage: Bacteria
Description: partial 16S ribosomal RNA
Rfam family: Bacterial small subunit ribosomal RNA
Source: RNAcentral